RNAcentral lists this long non-coding RNA (1064 nucleotides) under Marmota monax (woodchuck). Lineage: Eukaryota; Metazoa; Chordata; Mammalia; Rodentia; Sciuridae. The record is from RNAcentral.
GGGGUGUACUGGGGAUUGAACUCAGGGGCACUCAACCACUGAGCCACAUCCCCAGUCCUAUUUUGUAUUUUAUUUAGAAACAGGGUCUCACUGAGUUGCUUGGUGACUCAGUAAUGCUGAGGCUGGCUCUGAACUCGCAAUCACCCUGUCUUAGCAUCCCAGCCACUGGGAUUACAGGUGUGUGCUACCGUGCCCGGCCAAUUGUGCUAUUUUCUAGCUGUUUGAUCUUGGGCAAAUGUACCUCUCUGAACCUCUUCUCUGGGACAAGAUGACCAAAUAAGGAACACUUCAUAGGAUUGCUGGGGAAUUCUUGAGACACAGAACACAGUACUUGGCCCAGACAGGUGUGCAGAAGAUGGGGAGGUUACUAUUAGUGUCUUUGGCAGACCAUCGUAAAGCUUGUUUUUCCUUUCCAUGUUUCAGUCCAAUCUCUCAUCAUGAACCACUGUAUCAAAUGAGCUUCUGUGUAUUUGUUCAGGGAUGCCUAAACUUGCAUCUCUUCAGAUUUGAUGAAAAAGUAGAAUCGGUCUGUAUAUCCUCACCCAUCUCUAGCAGCACCAUCACAGUUGCCCUAAGCCAGACCCUCUAUGCCAGGCAAUCUAUCUCCUGCUAGAUCGACGACCCACUUAUUCCAUCUGUCUUUCCAGAUGGAAGAUCCUCAGUUUACAAGGGUUCUGCCUUCACUGUAAUUCCUCCAGGCCUGCCAAGUCUUUAUUCAGGGCUAACCACCAAGAUUACAUGCAGCACCAUGUUGAUUAGAAGUGCAAGGAUCAGGACCAACUGAAUGGCCCAGCAGCUCACUGUGAUCCUCAGUGGUCACAAAGCAGAGACAUCUUUUAAGUGUGUCAGGGGCAGCUGGCACUUCCCUAGAUCUCAGUCUCAUGAUUGUGGUACCCACCAUUGACUAUGCCCUGCUAUGGGCAGCCACUACCCUGGGUGCUUGGACACAGUACCUCAGGUAAUCCUCCCAAAGAUCCUAUGAGAGGUGAGAGAAUUAAAGUUCAGAGCAGGGAACAUGCCCAUCCCCACAGAAGUAGCCAGAAGCAUGGGAGGACAGAAGCAAC